This 497-nucleotide ribosomal RNA is filed under the name uncultured bacterium. RNAcentral describes it as "partial 16S ribosomal RNA". It matches the Rfam family "Bacterial small subunit ribosomal RNA", at positions 28 to 507 of the family's 1533-position model. The record is from RNAcentral.
GAUGAACGCUGGCGGCGUGCCUAACACAUGCAAGUCGAGCGAACGGACGAGAAGUUUGCUUCUCUGAUGUUAGCGGCGGACGGGUGAGUAACACGUGGAUAACCUACCUAUAAGACUGGGAUAACUUCGGGAAACCGGAGCUAACACCGGAUAAUAUUUUGAACCGCAUGGUUCAAAAGUGAAAGACGGUCUUGCUGUCACUUAUAGAUGGAUCCGCGCUGCAUUAGCUAGUUGGUAAGGUAACGGCUUACCAAGGCAACGAUGCAUAGCCGACCUGAGAGGGUGAUCGGCCACACUGGAACUGAGACACGGUCCAGACUCCUACGGGAGGCAGCAGUAGGGAAUCUUCCGCAAUGGGCGAAAGCCUGACGGAGCAACGCCGCGUGAGUGAUGAAGGUCUUCGGAUCGUAAAACUCUGUUAUUAGGGAAGAACAGAUGUGUAAGUAACUGUGCACAUCUUGACGGUACCUAAUCAGAAAGCCACGGCUAACUACGUG